GCGGGCGGGGCGGGGGCACGGGGGGCCUACGGGAGGCAGCAGUGGGGAAUAUUGGACAAUGGGCGCAAGCCUGAUCCAGCAACGCCGCGUGGAGGACGAAGGUCUUCGGAUCGUAAACUCCUGUCAGGCGGGACGAAGGCUUCCGGGCAAAUAGUCCGGAAGCUUGACGGUACUGCCAGAGGAAGCCCCGGCAA
RNAcentral lists this ribosomal RNA (194 nucleotides) under uncultured bacterium. Its description in RNAcentral is "partial 16S ribosomal RNA". It matches the Rfam family "Bacterial small subunit ribosomal RNA", at positions 296 to 499 of the family's 1533-position model. The record is from RNAcentral.